AUAGCAAUUGCGUCCGACGAUGAGGACGAUAAGUUUUUGGACUGACGACAAUCUGGUGCGACGACGACAAGACAAAAUGGCGACGAAGAUUUGGCACAAUUUUUAAGGACAAUGGCAGAUUGCGAGCUUUGGCGACGGAGGGCAAUGGCGAUGGCGAUGGCGAUGAUCGAAACAGAUUUCGAGGCUGAGUUGGAGGCUCUGGUGGUGUCGAUGAUGAAGACGACGACGACGACGACGCAGGAGGAUCUAUGGGUCACGAGCUGCGCGGUGACAGUGUUUGUUUUGUUGUAGGGGGCUCGAAUUCUGUCGUAACAGGUGGUUGUGGAGAAGAAUUUCAAGUUGUUUGUUCAAGUUGUGAGUGAGUGAGUGAGUGAGUCCAUGGUUACCUAUCAACAAGCGUGUUGACAUUCUGUGUUCGCCGACGCUCGUUGGCUCGUUUUUUGUGAGGCGGCACUUGGGGUACAAACGUGUAGGUGUGGAGCUUUUAUCCUUUCUUCUUGCAAUUCCGCGUGGAUGGCCGAGUUUUUCACAUACUUUUACCACCGAGAGUAAGAAUUGGUGUGUGUGUGUGUGUGUAUAUAUAUGUUUUCAAAUUUUGUCUUGCUUUUCGAAGCCAUCGUUAAAGUUUUUGAUGCUAAUGAAACAACCUGCUUCAGAUUGAGCGACCUGUGCGCCUUCCGUUGUGGCAAUUUAGAGUUUUGAGAGAUGGGUUAUCAGUGCAGUUAUGUUUGAGGGAAUGCUGUUCGUCUUGAUGGUUAGCGUUUCGAUGAUUUGGAUGUGGAAGAGUGUAUAUGAUUUGCCCUUCUUGGAUGGCUGUUUUUAGGGUAACGUGGAGAGGUAUACUGAAGCAGAGUGGGCACAUCCUUGUACUUCUGUAUCAGUGAGGAAUGGUUGGAUUCCUUACAGUUAGUUCGAAGAUUAUGAUGCCCAAAGGAUUGACGAAUUUGGUCUGGGCUUUUAUGUGAACUUACUCGAUGCAGCCUUCGGGUUACUUCAGGAGCAGAAGAUGAAUUUGAAGUAGUAGGGCCUGCUAGCUACGUAGACGAGGGUGACAAUGCUGAGAUACAAUUGUUCCAGUGGUUUCAGUAAUAUUGCGUAUCUUGUUGCCCUUGCCCAUACUAGGAAUGAUUUCCCCUACAGCCCUAACUGUCGCAAUUGCUUUUAUAAAGUGAUUACCAUCACACUUGGAUUUCCUUCUAACUUUACUUUUGGGCCUCUAAUUAGAAUGUCGUAAAACAUUGUCGAUUUGACUGUGAGGAGUUCUCAUUGUCGGUGACGUUGCUGGUAGAGUUUCUUUUCGAAUUUGCUUUCAAUUGCUUGUGUGACGUAUGUGUAUGCAGGACCUAAAAAGAAUCAUGUUUUUGUACGUGGAGUUUUUGUAGUUGACAGAUUUUACUCAUGUUGGCUCGUGCAAAUUGUUGAGGAAUGCACUAUUCUGAUGUGGGCUUUUUCAUCCUAUUUGAUGUGGUCUUGUCUAAUUUAUUUCUUACUUGCAGGGCAUCACAGCAGUGUUGAAUUCUCAGUGCAAAAACAAGAAGGUGAACUGGGCAGUCAACGGCCAAUGAAUUGAUGAAAUGACUUGGCAGAAGGGUUUCCAAGCGGUCGAUAUGCUAAGCAGGAUGUGAGUCUUCCACAAGCCUACGUUUAUUUCACCGUUCCGGUUCGGAUGGAUGCUCUGCCUAUCCUUAUUAUUGGAGGAUAGUUGGAAUAUAUUGAGUUCUGAACCAAAAAACGAGUAUGGAGGGUUCAAUAUUAAAUUAUGUUCUGUUGACCAGGACAUGGAGUUUUACUAGCUACAAGCCUCCUUUUGAGAGCCUAGUUAACCUACCAAUUUAAGUGUCUGUGGUAGAUUUACAGAUUUCAAAUCUGCGCCCUCCUUAGCAGCCGAAAAACCAUCUUGUUGAUUGGAUAUGGCUAAUAGAUCAGUCUUAGUGUAAGCAACUUAGGACCUCUUUGGGAUGGUUGAGGAGGGUAAAUACAAAAGUCUUUCAACCUACUCUGUUCAGUUUGUUUGCAAUCAUGGGUGCAAGCUGGUAAUCAGGCUUUACCAGCUUGCAAUAUCAUUAGCAGUUCAUUGUGAACCGUAAAUUUCGCUUUGUGACGUCAAAGGAAGAUUUCACUUCUUUGGGUGUAUGACCUAGUGUUAAUAACCAACGUCAGAGAAACUUGCUUGGCUAUUGGAAUUGUGUGCAAGGGGAGGAAGUGCGAACGACAGCGAAAUCCUCAUCAGAUUAGACAAAGCCCUUAUAGACAAGUCAUGCCAGUGGAAUCAGCGUACCCUUUCUCAGGGCUGGUGAACUUCCUGCAUGCUGUAUAAGAAGCUGCCAUAUAGUUACAUCACAAAAAAGCCGUAGUAAAAUUUUCUUUAACCGUCUGUUGUCUGUUCCAUGGAUUCGUAAUGCUGAUAUGGGAUUCAUUUAGCUGAUGGUUUAUGGGUGCUAUUGCUGGUACAUGUGCAAAUUCUUUGUGGAAGGCUGUUGGUGUUAUUUUCACUAUCCACCAGCUGAUACGGAUCACUGGGACAAUACCAACAACGAGAUCUGUUAUGAAGGCAUUCUGAUCAAUUGUCCCUAGAUGCAUUUUCAUGUUAGUUUUAAUCUCUGAGAGUAAAAUAAAUUAACGGUUUUGUUUCUGAUGAAUGCUAUGUCUAUUUGUUCAGUGUUGUACAGGUUUACUGAUGUAAAUAUUCACUCUAUCACGUCGUCUUUCUACAGGCCGACGGAGGUGCUCAUUCCAGGACUGUCCUACCAUCCUCUUUUUACCAAUAAGACUCAAUCACAUGACAACUUGCUGGUAAGAUUUAAUUUUGCCUCACUUUUCAUGGUUAUCAGCUGACGGCUGCUACAUACACGUGUUCAAUAAAUAAAGUCACCUCACCAACCAGUUGGUGGUCUAUUGUCAAAAUAUAUGUGUAUAUAACCUUCAAUUA
Non-coding RNA from Physcomitrium patens, 2929 nucleotides. The record is from RefSeq and is a predicted model, not a curated record. Lineage: Eukaryota; Viridiplantae; Streptophyta; Bryopsida; Funariales; Funariaceae.